This is a long non-coding RNA of Bubalus bubalis (water buffalo), 481 nucleotides long. RefSeq lists it as uncharacterized. The transcript has 3 exons. Lineage: Eukaryota; Metazoa; Chordata; Mammalia; Artiodactyla; Bovidae. The record is from RefSeq and is a predicted model, not a curated record.
CACAAAACCCUGCCACCAUUACUCUCUUCCCUUGCUCCAGAAGAUUCUGACCUGCCCCCUGUAUGGGAGCUUCUCCAUUAUGAGGACUCUCCAAAGCUGUCUGAAAGAAGAUUUUCCUUACCUUCCCUUGGAACAUCAACCAACAACCCAACCCUUCUCCAAAGAUAUGUGCUUCAGAGUUGCCAGUCUGAAGUCAUCAGACCUCAGAAAAAGUCAGUUUAAAAAAAAAGAAGUACUGUUAAGAGCCACCAAUAAACAUCUUAAAAAUAUUACAAUUGGGGCAUCAGUUUGAAGAUUAGCAAGGAUGACUCUGCAAGUUUCUUCUGUGCUUCAGCAUCAUUUCAUACAGUUUCAUUUUACCAAUAUGCUGAGAUCUCCUGGCAUCUUUUUCAUCAUUGUAUCCCUUGUUGUUGCCUGGCACAUAGUAGCCCUCAAUAAAUAUUUGUGGAGUGAAUAAUUCUUAAUAUUCUUCCUGAAAAUU